GGUGCGUUGGUCCAACGGUUACGACGCUAGACUGUCACUCUAGCAACAGGAGUUCAACUCUCCUACGCACCG
This 72-nucleotide transfer RNA is filed under the name Caudoviricetes sp. RNAcentral's name for it is "tRNA-Asp". It matches the Rfam family "tRNA". Rfam says of the family: Transfer RNA (tRNA) molecules are approximately 80 nucleotides in length. Lineage: Duplodnaviria; Heunggongvirae; Uroviricota; Caudoviricetes. The record is from RNAcentral.